GCAGUGAACAGUGGCAAAAAGCAAAGAGCAUGAGGGUUAGCAAUGUGCAAUGGUUAAGCAGCAGAUAAAAAUAAUAUUAGGUAAGAGAGGAUACUGUCAUUUGGACUGGAUGCUGAGAGCAAGUUAGUGUGAAUGUUGAAGCAGAGUUGGAAUACAAUGACAGGCUUCAGAUCAAUCUCUAGUACAAACAUGAGCUUCAAUAAAGAUUUCCGAGCUCUUAAAUGUGAUCAGCCGGUUAUAAACAUCAUGAGAAGUUGGGGCUGGUUAUUAUUGAAUACAACGUACCAGUAACAUGAAGUUGCAUAAAGUACGAGAGACACAGAGACACACUUUAUAUGUUGCUGACGGAAGGAGGAAGCAGGCAAAUGUGAAGAAGUGGGAAUUAGCGAAUACCCAUCAUGUUAUCUGGGAAGCGACGUAGUGACUAUCUCUGUCCUUCGUUUAUUCCAUGCGAAUUAACUACGUGAAUACAAACCUUAGCUGUGCCAAAGCCGAUCUUAGAAACAAAAGGACAGAUUCCCAGUUCUAAGACGGCAGCUGCUAGUUCCCAGUAUAUAAGGACGCCGCGUGUGACGUCACGAACGUCUCCGUCACGUGACCUUCGGCGCGUAUUCGGUGGUCACGCGGGGAUUGGCUGGAGCCGUACGCUACUACAGUGCUGACUACGCACUGCUUUACGCUGACUAGCUUUAGGAUUUUUCUUUGGGGCAGGGUUUUAUUCAGUCUUCCCUUGCGGCUGCGAACCUGUCAUAUACUUGCUGGUCUCUGUAAGGUGUGUGUCCUUGAUAUUAGGGGGUUAUUGGAGGCUGUUUACACAUAAUGCUGUUGUGUGGUAACUCGGAGGGCCCAAGAAUAAGCAGAAGCCACCCACACGUCACGCAGUUCCAUUAGUCUGAUUUAUAGCGGCCAUUGGCCCUGCUGCAUCAGUGCCUAGAUGACAUCGGCAACCAGCACCUCCCACCAAUGCACGCCCAGUCCUUCUCAGUGGCUGCUGCUCUACGGAAAAAAAAGUGAAAAAAAGAGAUGGCCGACGGCUGCCCUGACUUGCUGUAGCUGUAACAGGACAGGAAAUCAGGAGAAAGGGAGGAGCGUGAUAAGAAAUGCUAAGAUAACAAAUAAAGUGGACCCAAAAGGAGACUGGAGGCUAAGCCGAGCAGAGGAGACCACGUUCCUUGUUAAAGGGAAAGGAAAGUCUUUUUAACUUGGGGGUGCCACAAUUUAGGCAUCCCAAGUGAUUUUAUUUACUUAACUGAUAACCCAGGCUGCUGCUCCUGUCAACAGAUAACUGCACCGGCCCAGGGUUCUUCCAGAGAUCCAGAGUGAUUCUCUUUUUCCACUUCUUCAGACAUAUCUGCACAGUGGUGUGAAAUAGCUGGUUUUUUUUUCUGUUGUUAAAGUAUGGCUUUUCACUCUGCUGUGUAUGCACAGCUGCGGGAAUAAAGAAUAAGCAUGAACAGGAUCCCUCUGUGUAGCUCACUGGGCCUCUGCAGUUUUCUAUUGAUAGGAGCAGCAGCCCUGGGUAUAUACAAUCACUUAGAGCUGCCUAACUUUUGGUACCUUCAAGUAAAAAACUUGCUUCUCCUUUAAAGGGAUGGGAUCUCUCACAUCUUUCCCUGUGUGAUGUGAUGAAAGCCCAAGGAGGAAGUUCUGGACUGAAGAGCUACUGCACAUUCCUUUCCUCUCCUGCUUCAUUUGCAUGUCUUCGACCCAACUGGCUGGCAAGAUUUUACAUAAGAGAAUUAAUUUAAUUUAUGUACCAGAAUAUGACUUUGAUUUUAUCAUUAUAAACAAUUGAAAUGUACUAUGCCACAAAAGAGAUCAUAUUCAGUUAAUCUAUCCAUAGAAAUAUAUAUAUAUAUAUAUAUAUAAAUGUCAGCACAAAAGAAACAAAAAAUAAACAUUAAGAAACAUGUUCUGCAUUCUCUAAUGAACCAGUGUGGCAGAAGAUUUAGGGGUAGAUUUAUCAAAAUGUAAGAUCAGAGCUCACCACAA
Molecule: long non-coding RNA, 1992 nt
Organism: Xenopus laevis (African clawed frog)
Lineage: Eukaryota; Metazoa; Chordata; Amphibia; Anura; Pipidae
Exons: 4
Source: RefSeq, a predicted model, not a curated record